This 497-nucleotide ribosomal RNA is filed under the name uncultured bacterium. RNAcentral describes it as "partial 16S ribosomal RNA". It matches the Rfam family "Bacterial small subunit ribosomal RNA", at positions 28 to 507 of the family's 1533-position model. The record is from RNAcentral.
GACGAACGCUGGCGGCGUGCCUAAUACAUGCAAGUUGAGCGCUGAAGGUUGGUACUUGUACCGACUGGAUGAGCAGCGCACGGGUGAGUAACGCGUGGGGAAUCUGCCUUUGAGCGGGGGACAACAUUUGGAAACGAAUGCUAAUACCGCAUAAAAACUUUAAACACAAGUUUUAAGUUUGAAAGAUGCAAUUGCAUCACUCAAAGAUGAUCCCGCGUUGUAUUAGCUAGUUGGUGAGGUAAAGGCUCACCAAGGCGAUGAUACAUAGCCGACCUGAGAGGGUGAUCGGCCACAUUGGGACUGAGACACGGCCCAAACUCCUACGGGAGGCAGCAGUAGGGAAUCUUCGGCAAUAGACGAAAGUCUGACCGAGCAACGCCGCGUGAGGGAAGAAGGUUUUCGGAUCGUAAAAAUCUGUUGGUAGAGAAGAACGUUGGUGAGAGUGGAAAGCUCAUCAAGUGACGGUAACUACCCAGAAAGGGACGGCUAACUACGUG